Molecule: transfer RNA, 75 nt
Filed under: Beijerinckiaceae bacterium
Lineage: Bacteria; Pseudomonadati; Pseudomonadota; Alphaproteobacteria; Hyphomicrobiales; Beijerinckiaceae
Description: tRNA-Val
Rfam family: tRNA
About the family: Transfer RNA (tRNA) molecules are approximately 80 nucleotides in length. Their secondary structure includes four short double-helical elements and three loops (D, anti-codon, and T loops). Further hydrogen bonds mediate the characteristic L-shaped molecular structure. tRNAs have two regions of fundamental functional importance: the anti-codon, which is responsible for specific mRNA codon recognition, and the 3' end, to which the tRNAs corresponding amino acid is attached (by aminoacyl-tRNA synthetases). tRNAs cope with the degeneracy of the genetic code in two manners: having more than one tRNA (with a specific anti-codon) for a particular amino acid; and 'wobble' base-pairing, i.e. permitting non-standard base-pairing at the 3rd anti-codon position.
Source: RNAcentral
GGGCAUGUAGUUCAUUGGUAGAAUGCUGCGUUGACAUCGUAGAGGUAGCAAGUUCAAUUCUUGCCAUGCCCACCA